RNAcentral lists this ribosomal RNA (484 nucleotides) under uncultured bacterium. Its description in RNAcentral is "partial 16S ribosomal RNA". It matches the Rfam family "Bacterial small subunit ribosomal RNA", at positions 30 to 507 of the family's 1533-position model. The record is from RNAcentral.
AUUGAACGCUGGCGGCAGGCCUAACACAUGCAAGUCGAGCGGAUGAAGGGAGCUUGCUCCUGGAUUCAGCGGCGGACGGGUGAGUAAUGCCUAGGAAUCUGCCUCGUAGUGGGGGAUAACGUCCGGAAACGGGCGCUAAUACCGCAUACGUCCUGAGGGAGAAAGUGGGGGAUCUUCGGACCUCACGCUAUCAGAUGAGCCUAGGUCGGAUUAGCUAGUUGGUGGGGUAAAGGCCUACCAAGGCGACGAUCCGUAACUGGUCUGAGAGGAUGAUCAGUCACACUGGAACUGAGACACGGUCCAGACUCCUACGGGAGGCAGCAGUGGGGAAUAUUGGACAAUGGGCGAAAGCCUGAUCCAGCCAUGCCGCGUGUGUGAAGAAGGUCUUCGGAUUGUAAAGCACUUUAAGUUGGGAGGAGGGGCAGUAAGUUAAUACCUUGCUGUUUUGACGUUACCAACAGAAUAAGCACCGGCUAACUUCGUG